UAUCAGGUAGUAGUGGGUGUAGCGUACCUACUAGCUUACGACGGGUACGGGUUGUGAGAGCAAGAGCCCGGAGAUGGAUUCUGAGACACGAAUCCAGGCCCUACGGGGUGCAGCAGGCGCGAAAACUUUACAAUGCUGGAAACAGCGAUAAGGGGACCUCGAGUGCCAGGUUACAAAUCUGGCUGUCGUGAUGCCUAAAAAGCAUUGCAUAGCAAGGGCCGGGCAAGACCGGUGCCAGCCGCCGCGGUAACACCGGCGGCUCGAGUGGUAACCGUUAUUAUUGGGUCUAAAGGGUCUGUAGCCGGCCGGAUAAGUCUCUUGGGAAAUCUGGCAGCUUAACUGUCAGGCUUUCAGGAGAUACUGUCUGGCUCGAGGCCGGGAGAGGUGAGAGGUACUUCAGGGGUAGGGGUGAAAUCUUGUAAUCCUUGAAGGACCACCAGUGGCGAAGGCGUCUCACCAGAACGGACCUGACGGCAAGGGACGAAAGCUAGGGGCACGAACCGGAUUAGAUACCCGGGUAGUCCUAGCCGUAAACGAUACUCGCUAGGUGUCGGCCACGGUGCGACCGUUGUCGGUGCCGUAGGGAAGCCGUGAAGCGAGCCACCUGGGAAGUACGGCCGCAAGGCUGAAACUUAAAGGAAUUGGCGGGGGAGCAC
This 656-nucleotide ribosomal RNA is filed under the name uncultured Methanosaeta sp. RNAcentral describes it as "bacterial SSU rRNA". It matches the Rfam family "Archaeal small subunit ribosomal RNA", at positions 223 to 879 of the family's 1478-position model. The record is from RNAcentral. Lineage: Archaea; Methanobacteriati; Methanobacteriota; Methanomicrobia; Methanotrichales; Methanotrichaceae.